UGACGAUACAUCUGUUUUUAGCUAGUGUGCUAGUUGCAAUAUUAGGUGGUGAUUAGUGGGUACAUCGGUAUUUUAGUUCUUUCCGUUCGUUCUGUUGUAUUCUUAUCGGUUAGUAAGCUGGUUAAGGGGGCCAUGUACGCCCGGGGCACGUUAUGUUAGGAAGGGAUGAAAGGGCCUAGCACGUCCGACCCACGGUUAGUAAGCUGGUUGAAGGGGCCACGUACGCCCGGGCCAUGCUAUGUUAGGAAGGGAUGAAGGGGCCCAGUACGCCCGACCCGCUAGUGCAUUACAGUCUCAGCGUUUUGGUCAGGAAUAGCCGAACAGUUAUUAAUGUCACUCGUUACAGUUGUAUAGGUCGGGAGGAGUAACGCCGAGUUGGCGGAUGCACGACAUGGACGCACGAGGUCGUGCGAUUGUCAGGGUUGGCCGUGUCAGCAAUAGCACUGUCGUACGCAAUUAGUAAGGAAUUUAUAAACAACAGAUGCACAUCGUUCGAUAUUCAACUACCCUCA
RNAcentral lists this unclassified non-coding RNA (512 nucleotides) under Melitaea cinxia (Glanville fritillary). RNAcentral's name for it is "misc RNA ENSMCXG00005008645.1". Lineage: Eukaryota; Metazoa; Arthropoda; Insecta; Lepidoptera; Nymphalidae. The record is from RNAcentral.